RNAcentral lists this ribosomal RNA (629 nucleotides) under uncultured bacterium. RNAcentral describes it as "bacterial SSU rRNA". It matches the Rfam family "Bacterial small subunit ribosomal RNA", at positions 554 to 1185 of the family's 1533-position model. The record is from RNAcentral.
CUGGGCGUAAGGAUGCGUAGGCGGAUAUUUAAGUCAGAUGUGAAACCCCCAGGCUUAACUUGGGGACUGCAUUUGAAACUGGAUAUCUAGAGUGCAGGAGAGGUAAGUGGAAUUCCUAGUGUAGCGGUGAAAUGCGUAGAGAUUAGGAAGAACAUCAGUGGCGAAGGCGGCUUACUGGACUGUAACUGACGCUGAGGCAUGAAAGCGUGGGUAGCAAACAGGAUUAGAUACCCUGGUAGUCCACGCUGUAAACGAUGAAUACUAGGUGUGGGAGGUAUCGACUCCUUCCGUGCCGCCGCUAACGCAAUAAGUAUUCCGCCUGGGGAGUACGAUCGCAAGAUUAAAACUCAAAGGAAUUGACGGGGGCCCGCACAAGCAGCGGAGCAUGUGGUUUAAUUCGAAGCAACGCGAAGAACCUUACCUGGACUUGACAUCCCCUGAAUAACCUAGAGAUAGGCGAAGCCCUUCGGGGCAGGGAGACAGGUGGUGCAUGGUUGUCGUCAGCUCGUGUCGUGAGAUGUUAGGUUAAGUCCUGCAACGAGCGCAACCCUUAUCCUUAGUUGCUACCAUUAAGUUGAGCACUCUAAGGAGACUGCCCGGGUUAACCGGGAGGAAGGUGGGGAUGACGU